GACAGCAUGGUGUAGUGGUUUGAGUGUUAGACUAUGACUCUUGAAAUCAGGGUCCAAAUCCCUGUUUAGCCA
Molecule: transfer RNA, 72 nt
Filed under: Phrynosoma platyrhinos (Desert horned lizard)
Lineage: Eukaryota; Metazoa; Chordata; Lepidosauria; Squamata; Phrynosomatidae
Description: tRNA-OTHER
Source: RNAcentral